Cucurbita moschata (crookneck pumpkin) is the source of this 1023-nucleotide long non-coding RNA. RefSeq lists it as uncharacterized. The transcript is spliced from 4 exons. NCBI's taxonomy places the organism in Eukaryota, Viridiplantae, Streptophyta, Magnoliopsida, Cucurbitales, Cucurbitaceae. The record is from RefSeq and is a predicted model, not a curated record.
UCCGCGCGACAUGACCGGUAGCAUUUGCUUCUUCGUCUUCAUCCAUGGAGAAGCUGAAGAAGUCGGCGAUCAGAAUCGCCUACGGAAGGGACCACGCUAAGCUCUCUUCUCUGCAACGCCUUCUCAUCCCCUUCCUCUACUUGGCGUCUGCUCUCUACAAGCUCCGUGAUCACUUCUACCUCUACGGCGUAUUUUGCAAGUACUGGGUUAUGGUGGUGGGGAUGAAGCCAAAAUGCUUAUAAGGCUUCUUGCUGGGAGUCCCAUUAAAGUAUGCAUUGGAGCAGACAGGAGAGCUUCUGCUGCUUGAACAAGUAGAUUAUUGACUGUGCACCAUGACUUGGAGAUCGUUGUGUUCAAUGGGAUAACAUUAUGGGGGAAAUUAUUACCAGUUGGACCUUUAAGAGAACCAUAAGCUGUACUCAAGAUAGCUGACACUGCCAUUAUUCAUCAUGCAAAUAUGAUAGGAGCAUAUCAGGUUGAUCGACUUGACUCGACUGAACUCGACUUUUGCAAUGACCAUCACGAUUGUAGCAUAACAUGUUGAUCGACUCAACUUGACUUCUUCAGUGACCAUCACGAUAGGAGCAUAUCAGGUUGAUCGGCUUGACUCGACUCAACUCGACUUCUUUAGUGACCAUCACAAUAAGAGCAUGUCAUGUUGAUCGAUCUCACUCAACUUGACUUCUUCAGUGACCAUACGAUAGGAGCACAUCAGGUUGAUCGACUUGACUCGACUCAACUUGACUUCUUCAGUAACCAUCACGAUAGGAGCAUAUCAUAUUGAUCGAUUUCACUCAACUUGACUUCUUUAGUGACCAUCAUGAUAGGAGCAUAUCAUGUUGAUCGACUCGACUUCAGGGACCAAUCACGUGUAUCAAGACAGGGUAACUAUUCUUCUGCUGCAAGUCUGAAAGAUCAUGUCACCUCCACAAACACUCCCAAUUACUUGUUUAGAAUUUUCCAAAAUUACUUGUUUGCCCUCGUUAUGAUAUCAAAUGGAACCUAAGGUAUACACUCUCAGUU